GAUGAAGAACGUAGCGAAAUGCGAUACUUGGUGUGAAUUGCAGAAUCCCGUGAACCAUCGAGUCUUUGAACGCAAGUUGCGCCCGAAGCCAUCAGGUUGAGGGCACGUCUGCCUGGGCGUCACAUAUCGUUGCUCGAUGCCUAUCGCAUUGCGAUAGGACUUAGGGCGAAUGAUGGCUUCCCGUGAGCGUUGUUGCCUCGCGGUUGGUUGAAAAUCGAGUCCUUGGUAGGGUGUGCCAUGAUAGAUGGUGGUCGAGUUAGCACGAGACCGACCAUGUGCAUGCUCCCCAAAAUAUGGCCUCUGUGACCCACACGUGUCUUUUGACGCUCAUGACGAGACCUCAGGUCAGGCGGGGCUACCCGCUGAAUUUAAGCAUAUCAAUAAGCGGAGGA
RNAcentral lists this unclassified non-coding RNA (392 nucleotides) under soil metagenome. RNAcentral's name for it is "partial contains 5.8S ribosomal RNA, internal transcribed spacer 2, and large subunit ribosomal RNA". The stretch from base 1 to 122 matches the Rfam family "5.8S ribosomal RNA", at positions 35 to 154 of the family's 154-position model. The record is from RNAcentral.